ACACAUGCAAGUCGAGGGGCAUCAGGAAGAAAGCUUGCUUUCUUUGCUGGCGACCGGCGCACGGGUGAGUAACACGUAUCCAACCUGCCCUUUACUCGGGGAUAGCCUUUCGAAAGAAAGAUUAAUACCCGAUAGCAUAAUGAUUCCGCAUGGUUUCAUUAUUAAAGGAUUCCGGUAAAGGAUGGGGAUGCGUUCCAUUAGGUUGUUGGUGAGGUAACGGCCCACCAAGCCUUCGAUGGAUAGGGGUUCUGAGAGGAAGGUCCCCCACAUUGGAACUGAGACACGGUCCAAACUCCUACGGGAGGCAGCAGUGAGGAAUAUUGGUCAAUGGGCGCUAGCCUGAACCAGCCAAGUAGCGUGAAGGAUGAAGGCUCUAUGGGUCGUAAACUUCUUUUAUAUAAGAAUAAAGUGCAGUAUGUAUACUGUUUUGUAUGUAUUAUAUGAAUAAGGAUCGGCUAACUCCGUGCCAGCAGCCGCGGUAAUACGGAGGAUCCGAGCGUUAUCCGGAUUUAUUGGGAUUAAAGGGAGCGUAGGUGGACUGGUAAGUCAGUUGUGAAAGUUUGCGGCUCAACCGUAAAAUUGCAGUUGAUACUGUCAGUCUUGAGUACAGUAGAGGUGGGCGGAAUUCGUGGUGUAGCGGUGAAAUGCUUAGAUAUCACGAAGAACUCCGAUUGCGAAGGCAGCUCACUGGACUGCAACUGACACUGAUGCUCGAAAGUGUGGGUAUCAAACAGGAUUAGAUACCCUGGUAGUCCACACAGUAAACGAUGAAUACUCGCUGUUUGCGAUAUACAGUAAGCGGCCAAGCGAAAGCAUUAAGUAUUCCACCUGGGGAGUACGCCGGCAACGGUGAAACUCAAAGGAAUUGACGGGGGCCCGCACAAGCGGAGGAACAUGUGGUUUAAUUCGAUGAUACGCGAGGAACCUUACCCGGGCUUAAAUUGCAGUGGAAUGAUGUGGAAACAUGUCAGUGAGCAAUCACCGCUGUGAAGGUGCUGCAUGGUUGUCGUCAGCUCGUGCCGUGAGGUGUCGGCUUAAGUGCCAUAACGAGCGCAACCCUUAUCUUUAGUUACUAACAGGUUAUGCUGAGGACUCUAGAGAGACUGCCGUCGUAAGAUGUGAGGAAGGUGGGGAUGACGUCAAAUCAGCACGGCCCUUACGUCCGGGGCUACACACGUGUUACAAUGGGGGGUACAGAAGGCAGCUAGCGGGUGACCGUAUGCUAAUCCCAAAAUCCUCUCUCAGUUCGGAUCGAAGUCUGCAACCCGACUUCGUGAAGCUGGAUUCGCUAGUAAUCGCGCAUCAGCCACGGCGCGGUGAAUACGUUCCCGGGCCUUGUACACACCGCCCGUCAAGCCAUGGGAGCCGGGGGUACCUGAAGUACGUAACCGCAAGGAUCGUCCUAGGGUAAAACUGGUGACUGGGGCUAAGUCA
This 1434-nucleotide ribosomal RNA is filed under the name uncultured organism. RNAcentral describes it as "SSU rRNA". It matches the Rfam family "Bacterial small subunit ribosomal RNA". The record is from RNAcentral.